RNAcentral lists this ribosomal RNA (117 nucleotides) under uncultured bacterium. RNAcentral's name for it is "partial 16S ribosomal RNA". It matches the Rfam family "Bacterial small subunit ribosomal RNA", at positions 1357 to 1482 of the family's 1533-position model. The record is from RNAcentral.
CUGCGGUGAAUACGUUCCCGGGCCUUGUACACACCGCCCGUCAAGCCAUGGAAGCUGGGGGUACCUGAAGCCGGUAACCGCAAGGAGCCGUCUAGGGUAAAACCGGUAACUGGGGCU